CAAAAAACGAAAAUAAAAUUCCAUUGGAUCUGAGCUACAAACUCCAUAGCAAAAUUCCUAAUAAACUUUGGAGGGCUGUCAUUUGCAUCACUUAAACAACAAUUACGUGGCCUCGGGACAUCUUCUUGAAGUGGAGGACCAAGCAAUAAACGAGGCCUUCUGGUGACAACCGAGAAAGUUCCAACCCCCCAAAAUCGCAGACACAGACUCCGCCGUCAUAUGAAUAAGUAAUGCGAGAAUUGAAAAAUAUGAUUUCCCGAGGAGGAGGAAACUUAACAUGGCAAAAUCCUGAUCCACGCUUGCGGUACAGACAUGCAGCAGACACAUGACCGGAGCCUUGGGACAGAACUGCGGCCGGAGUGGUUCCUUG
Molecule: long non-coding RNA, 370 nt
Organism: Drosophila mauritiana
Lineage: Eukaryota; Metazoa; Arthropoda; Insecta; Diptera; Drosophilidae
Exons: 3
Source: RefSeq, a predicted model, not a curated record